RNAcentral lists this ribosomal RNA (382 nucleotides) under uncultured marine eukaryote. RNAcentral describes it as "SSU rRNA". It matches the Rfam family "Eukaryotic small subunit ribosomal RNA", at positions 1 to 387 of the family's 1831-position model. The record is from RNAcentral.
AACCUGGUUGAUCCUGCCAGUAGUCAUAUGCUUGUCUCAAAGACUAAGCCAUGCAUGUCUAAGUAUAAAUGUUAUACAGUAAAACUGCGAAUGGCUCAUUAAAACAGUUAUAGUUUAUUUGGUACUCGAUUUACAUGGAUAACCGUGGUAAUUCUAGAGCUAAUACAUGCUUUAAAGCCCGACUUCUCGGAAGGGCCGUAUUUAUUAGAUAACAGACCAAUAUUCCUCGUGUCUAUUGUGGUGAGUCAUAGUAACUUUUCGGAUCGCAUGGGCUUUGUCCCGCGACAAACCAUUCAAGUUUCUGCCCCAUCAGCUUUCGAUGGUAGUGUAUUGGACUACCAUGGCUUUCACGGGUAACGGAGGAUUAGGGUUCGAUUCCGGA